CUUCAGUGAUGAUAAGAUGACGAGUCGGAAGCGGGAGGCUCUUGCUGGGGCGCCUCUGCAGUGGCACGUUCUGUCAGCAGGAGCAUCCCGUCCUCAUUGAACGAUUUAGAGGCAUUUGUCUGAGAAGG
RNAcentral lists this small nucleolar RNA (128 nucleotides) under Colius striatus (speckled mousebird). The record is from RNAcentral. Lineage: Eukaryota; Metazoa; Chordata; Aves; Coliiformes; Coliidae.